GUAGGGAAUAUUGCGCAAUGGGGGAAACCCUGACGCAGCAACGCCGCGUGAGUGAGGAAGGUCUUCGGAUUGUAAAACUCUUUUAUUAGGGAAAAAUGUCUAGGUGGCUAAUAUCCACUUAGAGUGAUGGUACCUAAGGAAUAAGCACCGGCUAACUUCGUGCCAGCAGCCGCGGUAAUACGAAGGGUGCAAGCGUUGUUCGGAAUCAUUGGGCGUAAAGCGCGCGCAGGCGGGUCAGUAAGUCAGGUGUGAAAUCUCGGAGCUCAACUCCGAAACUGCGCCUGAAACUAUUGGUCUAGAGUAUCGGAGGGGACAGGGGAAUUUCACGUGUAGGGGUAAAAUCCGUAGAGAUGUGAAGGAACACCGGAGGCGAAGGCGCCUGUCUGGACGAUUACUGACGCUGAGGCGCGAAAGCGUGGGGAGCAAACAGGAUUAGAAACCCUUGUAGUCC
Molecule: ribosomal RNA, 451 nt
Filed under: uncultured bacterium
Lineage: Bacteria
Also listed under: 1 other name
Description: bacterial SSU rRNA
Rfam family: Bacterial small subunit ribosomal RNA
Source: RNAcentral